RNAcentral lists this long non-coding RNA (401 nucleotides) under Bos indicus x Bos taurus (hybrid cattle). RNAcentral's name for it is "lncRNA (ENSBIXG00005009348.1)". Lineage: Eukaryota; Metazoa; Chordata; Mammalia; Artiodactyla; Bovidae. The record is from RNAcentral.
CGGCAGACAUAUACACAUCAGAGGCAGUCUGCAGAUGGGUGAGGCGCGGCCCCUGGCCUUGCUGGGCUGGAAGGAUGCUCUGGGAGGUCUGGUGUACAUGCGUUUUGACUAGGCAGGACUUGCACCCCACCUUCCAGACAGACAGUGCUUCCUCGCCCAGAACUGUCAAAACCUGUCGAAGAUUAAGAUGUCUUUCCAGCAACCCAAGGGUUGUUCCCAGGCCUGUUUCAACUGUACCAGGAGCUUCAGGAGCUGGCAGUGUGGGACGACCAGCGAGAAAGCUACCGUCAUCUGCAAAGGAUGGGCGUGGUUUUCAAAUAAAGAAUCACUUUCCAGGCAAAGAGAGCUUCUUACCACUCUAGAAGGUGAUCCUGGGAACUGAUUCUUAGAAUAAACAUGAG